Molecule: ribosomal RNA, 588 nt
Filed under: Triticum aestivum (bread wheat)
Lineage: Eukaryota; Viridiplantae; Streptophyta; Magnoliopsida; Poales; Poaceae
Description: partial small subunit ribosomal RNA
Source: RNAcentral
UUUCAGCCAUUGCUGAACAAGAUUAGAGCGUGCCUGGCUUGCUGGAAGGCUCGCCUCCUAACGGCAGCAGGCAGACUUGUGCUCGUAAACACCGUUCUCUCAUCCAUGGCGGUCUAUUGGCUUGUUAUGUUUGAGCUGCCAACAUGGGCUCGCAAGGAAAUUGAUAAGCUGCAUCGGGCAUGGCUUUGGCGUGGCAAUGAGGUUUGUCAUGGCGCUCAUUGCAAGGUGGCCUGGCGCCAGAUCUAUAGGCCUAAGCAACUUGGGGGCCUUGGCAUCGUGGACCUGCGGCAGUUCGGCACUACGUUACGACUAUGCUGGCUCUGGCUUGAGCGGACUGCCCCUGAGCGGCCAAGGGUUGAGCCCCCAAUGCCAUGCUCCAUGGCCGACCGCUUGCUGUUUGCGUUGGCGACACGCUGCCACCUCGGCAAUAGACGAAAGGCGUGUUUCUGGCUUGAUGCAUGGCUAGGGGGCAAGCCCCAUGCCUCGUCGUCCCCGACAUCUUCAAUAUUACGGCAAACAAGCACCGGAGAGUGGCAUCUGCCCUCACUGACAGCCGUUGGGUUGGGGAUUUGCAAGGGCGUAUCAUAG